Molecule: ribosomal RNA, 661 nt
Filed under: uncultured Actinomycetes bacterium
Lineage: Bacteria; Bacillati; Actinomycetota; Actinomycetes
Description: bacterial SSU rRNA
Rfam family: Bacterial small subunit ribosomal RNA
Source: RNAcentral
CGCGGCCUAUCAGCUUGUUGGUGGGGUGAUGGCCCACCAAGGCGGUGACGGGUAGCCGGCCUGAGAGGGUGGGCGGCCACACUGGGACUGAGACACGGCCCAGACUCCUGCGGGAGGCAGCAGUGGGGUGUAUUGCACAAUGGGCGGAAGCCUGAUGCAGCGACGUCGCGUGAGGGAUGGAGGCCUUCGGGUUGUGAACCUCUUUCUCCGGUGGUGAAGGCCCUGUCCGUUGCGGCGGGGUUGACGGUAGCCGGGUAUGAAGCGCCGGCUAACUACGUGCCAGCAGCCGCGGUGAUACGUAGGGCGCGAGCGUUGUCCGGAAUUAUUGGGCGUGAAGGGCUUGUAGGCGGCCGGUCGCGUCCGCCGUGAAAUUCUCCGGCUCAACCGGGGGCUUGCGGUGGGUACGGGCCGGCUGGAGUGCGGUAGGGGAGGCUGGAACUCCUGGUGUAGCGGUAGAAUGCGCAGAUAUCAGGAGGAACACCGGUGGCGAAGGCGGGUCUCUGGGCCGUUACUGACGCUGAGGAGCGAAAGCGUGGGGAGCGAACAGGAUUAGAUACCCUGGUAGUCCACGCCGUAAACGUUGGGCACUAGGUGUGGGGCCCCGCUCGGCGGGGGUCCGCGCCGCAGCUAACGCAUUAAGUGCCCCGCCUGGGGAGUACGG